RNAcentral lists this small nuclear RNA (181 nucleotides) under Pteropus alecto (black flying fox). RNAcentral's name for it is "U2 spliceosomal RNA". It matches the Rfam family "U2 spliceosomal RNA". Rfam says of the family: U2 is a small nuclear RNA (snRNA) component of the spliceosome (involved in pre-mRNA splicing). Lineage: Eukaryota; Metazoa; Chordata; Mammalia; Chiroptera; Pteropodidae. The record is from Rfam by way of RNAcentral.
AUUGCUUCUCAGCCUUUUGGCUAAGAUCAAGUGUAGAUAUGGUCUCCAGAUUAUUUAUAAUUUCUGAUCUUUUACAUUUUUUUAUGAUUUCAUUCUUACCCAAAGUAGAAAGCAAAUCUGACUUAAGUAAUUUAACUAGGACCUCCAUUUUUGUAAAUCCUGCAGAGGGUCCUUAUGUCCU